CGGACGAAUGCAAGACAGAACCGACGCCAACAUUUCACUCAAUUCAUCGAAGAGAAAUCAUUGAAAAUGGCAUUUGUGUGGAUUGCAUACUAUGAAUGCGUGAACUGCAGUUUUGAAUACCAAACAACGAAUACUGAAGAAACGAAAAUGCGUUUGUGCCUUUGCUGCGGAAAAUACAACAAACCAACCGAAGAAAAACGUGAGCGGGUCUUUUAGACAACGAACUCUACAGUGAACAUGCGAUUGGAUGCAAAAAAUGGAUUAUUACAUACAGUAUACCAUGGAAGCUAUGGAAUUGAAAAUAAAAUCAUUGUUUUGCUUUUGAAAGAGUCAUAGUUUCUCAAUAAAGUCCAAUCCUCGUGUGGGAAUUGAUGCAAAAAAGCAA
This is a long non-coding RNA of Sitodiplosis mosellana (orange wheat blossom midge), 385 nucleotides long. RefSeq lists it as uncharacterized. The record is from RefSeq and is a predicted model, not a curated record. The transcript has 2 exons. Lineage: Eukaryota; Metazoa; Arthropoda; Insecta; Diptera; Cecidomyiidae.